GUACUUGUUUUUGUCGUUGUUCUUUUGGUCGCUCUUACUGGAAUAAUACCUUUUUAGUCAUGUAGCCUAUGCAACGCGAAUGGGUCUAGUGACUGCAGAAACUUCAUCGUUAAGAGAUCAGUUUAACAAGCAAGAGAGAGGCAUUAUUCACCAGACUGCCCAGCCCUGUCCACCUACUUGCAAGACCUGCCCACCCACUUUCUCUGACCACCCUGAGGAUGUAUCCAUGUUCCAUGACUGUUUCCUGUUCCUCUCUUCUCGCCCUUCUCACAGCCUACCCUGAACCGGACAUCAGGUGACCUCAGCUUCUGCCCAUGAAAACACUACUCUGCAAUUCCUUGACUUGACACUUUUGUUUUCAUCAUCUUAAUGCUAAGACUUUUGUUUAUUUCUUCUUGUUUUGUUUUUUUGCGGCAGAAGUUGUUUUCAGUGAGGGAAGCUUUCACCUGUGAGGUCACACGUGCUCUCUGUAGACCGCAGCACCACACACAUGAUGAUAAAAUGUUGGCGUCCAUCUUAACGGGCUCCCCCCUUUUGUGUUCACGCGGGUGCCCAGAGCAGCGCCUUGUUUAGAGGAAGUUUCUUGACGUGACCAUUUUCAAGGAAUUUCCCUCACGAGCCUGCAGUUGUGAACUAGAAUUUGCGCUGCUCGUCCUGCGUCUCUCAAGAAGGUCGCAAUCAGCACUGGACUGGGAAUCCAAAUGCUUAAUCAGCCGCUACUCCCACAGUUGUCUGAACUUGUUCCCUCUUAUUAAAAUUCAGGGACACUUUAUUGGAAUGACAGAUGCUUGCAUCGCCUAAGCACUGAACACUUGAAAAGUGCUGGAUCUGUGUCUCUCUCCCUGUCGGCCCUGAUCUCCAUCCACUCCCCGCAUACGUCGGUCGCCCGUCUGCCUCCGCCUGCGCACAUGCCCACUGAUUCGCAGCAGUAUCUGCGCAGGUGCUCUUCUGUGAUAGAUCGCGUUCAAGAUGACGGAAAAACCACCAGAGACAGGAGAUUAGGUGUCAUCGCUCCACGUGCCCUUAUAAAGACUGCCGUGUCGUCUGCUACACCAUGACUGCUGUCAACUAUAAUCUGCAAUAAAAAUGUCCGGAUUAUAUAGUAAUUUAUCCUUUUCUGCUUUACUCUUAUGAGGACACAUCUGGAAGGCAGAUGUUUAUCCCAGAACAAGUUCUCCGUCUCUGUUUUCCUCUCUGUCUCUUUUUCUCUGUUGCUUCCUUCUCUCUUUCUUUAAAAAAAAAAAAAAAAAAAGCCCAACAGCACCACUUAUCCUAACUCCCCCCCAUCUCUUCUUCUAAGGGGGGGGGGGACCACCCACAUUCGGAAACGCCUCACCACCCUGCCAGCGGGAGCCGUGCCAGUCCUGGGCAGAGGACUGGGGGGAGCGAGGAGCUCUCUGUGUACAGGGAUACCAGGAGAAACAGGAGGAGAAAGCACACAGGAGGGAAGGAGGGAGGGAGGGAGGCAGGCAGAGAGAUUCCAUUUAAUGGUAUCCCCCCCCCCUUUUUUUUGCUUUUUAAAUAGUGAAUUCAGAAUCGACAUUUCAGGACACUUUGUAAAAGUCUGUUUAAAGUUCAUGUUCCACUUCGCGUUCCCCCUAAAAUUGCCCCCAUUAAUUCAGCUUUUGCUAGUUAUCUUUUAGGCUAUAAUUUGCCAGGGCUUUUUAUAGACCUUACAGUAAGUGGACAGGACUUAAGCUUGGGCAGAACAAGCUUGCCGACGGUGGCACAGCGGGUUUGCAGUGAGACACCUCAGGGGGGGCUGUUUAUGACACGCAGCCCCGCCGGGUUAUAUGCAGUGAGAGAGAGCUUUUGCAUGCAUUGGAUGGAUAUAUGCUUACAGUUAGCCAGAAACCAAAACCAUUCAGUUUUUCAAUAUUUAUUCCAUCCAUCCAUCCAUCCAUUUUCCAUACCAGGCGGAAUCAGUGGUUCAUGAUGAGCCUGAAUCUGAGCCUGAAUUGACAUUAGAAAUAAUCACUUAUUUCUAUGAAUUUACAGUUGCAUGAAUUAUAUUAAUAUGAUGAAGUAGCCUUUGCAUAAUCUUAAGAUCUGUCAUGUUUUUAAUGUGCGAAUGCAUUUAUUCGCGGAAACCUCCGUACUGUCCGUUGUGAUUCUCAAAUGAUUCUCAACCCAUGGGUCGCGAACCAAAUUUGGGCCGCGGCAAGUUCUGAAAGGAUCACGAGGCAAAGUUGGCAUUUUAUAAGCAUUUUAAAACCAGCAAGAUCCACGAUCAGAUUUCUCAGUCCCAAUCCUCGAAUUACCCCUAUAUAAACGGGCAAAUGCUUAGUGCAAAACUAGUGAACGCUCAACCAAUCCAAGAAGCCAAACCACAGAUGCUUAAUUUAAAAUUCACUGGCACAUCCAAUCGGAUUUGUGCAAUAGGCAUUGA
Non-coding RNA from Paramormyrops kingsleyae, 2389 nucleotides. NCBI's taxonomy places the organism in Eukaryota, Metazoa, Chordata, Actinopteri, Osteoglossiformes, Mormyridae. The record is from RefSeq and is a predicted model, not a curated record.